UCCUGGCUAGCUCAGUUGGUAGAGCGCUCCAUUCGAAAUGGAGCGCUCCACCAACUGGAAAUCAAAAUGGAGAGGUCCCUUGUUCAAUGCCAGGACCAGGUA
RNAcentral lists this transfer RNA (102 nucleotides) under Ixodes scapularis (black-legged tick). RNAcentral's name for it is "tRNA-Ser". It matches the Rfam family "tRNA". Rfam says of the family: Transfer RNA (tRNA) molecules are approximately 80 nucleotides in length. Their secondary structure includes four short double-helical elements and three loops (D, anti-codon, and T loops). Lineage: Eukaryota; Metazoa; Arthropoda; Arachnida; Ixodida; Ixodidae. The record is from RNAcentral.